GGAGGAAAGCAGGGGAUCGUAAGACCUUGCGUUAAUGGAGCGGCCGAUAUCUGAUUAGCUAGUUGGUGAGGUAAAGGCUCACCAAGGCGACGAUCAGUAGCUGGUUUGAGAGAACGACCAGCCACACUGGAACUGAGACACGGUCCAGACUCCUACGGGAGGCAGCAGUGGGGAAUUUUGGACAAUGGGGGCAACCCUGAUCCAGCCAUUCCGCGUGAGUGAAGAAGGCCUUCGGGUUGUAAAGCUCUUUCGCAAGGGAAGAAAACUUAUGAUCGAAUAAAUCAUGAGGUUGACGGUACCUUGAUAAGAAGCACCGGCUAACUACGUGCCAGCAGCCGCGGUAAUACGUAGGGUGCGAGCGUUAAUCGGAAUUACUGGGCGUAAAGCGUGCGCAGGCGGUUUUGUAAGUCGGAUGUGAAAUCCCCGGGCUCAACCUGGGAACUGCGUUUUGAAACUACAAAGCUA
This 465-nucleotide ribosomal RNA is filed under the name uncultured ammonia-oxidizing beta proteobacterium. RNAcentral's name for it is "bacterial SSU rRNA". It matches the Rfam family "Bacterial small subunit ribosomal RNA", at positions 198 to 643 of the family's 1533-position model. The record is from RNAcentral. Lineage: Bacteria; Pseudomonadati; Pseudomonadota; Betaproteobacteria.